This 261-nucleotide ribosomal RNA is filed under the name uncultured archaeon. Its description in RNAcentral is "partial 16S ribosomal RNA". It matches the Rfam family "Archaeal small subunit ribosomal RNA", at positions 748 to 1008 of the family's 1478-position model. The record is from RNAcentral.
CAGCCGUAAACUAUGCGCGUUAGGUGUACUGGUGACCACGAGUCACCGGGUGCCGAAGGGAAACCGUGAAACGUGCCGCCUGGGAAGUACGGUCGCAAGGCUGAAACUUAAAGGAAUUGGCGGGGGAGCACCACAGCGGGUGGAGCCCUGCGGUUUAAUUGGACUCAACGCCGGAAAUCUCACCGGAUAGGACAGACAUAUGAUAGUCGGGCUAAAGACUCUACUUGAUGAUCUGAGAGGUGGUGCAUGGCGUCAGUGACU